CAUAGAAGAGGUGCUGCAUGGGAGCUUACAAAUCACCCCUCAACAAACCGAAACAACAAUGAAGAAGAGGCAUCCCAGCAUGCCUUUCAAGUCGAGAAGAUAUUCUUGAGCACGUUAUGCACACAGCUGUGUGAAAUUCGCCCCGAAGAAGUCGACCUUUGCAAAGUUGAUUCUGCCAAACCAACCGAAAUCAACACUUCCCAGCUCUCCAUCUGCAAGACGGAGACGAGGUAGUCGCAAGGGGCACCGUCCUUCCUUGAUUACAUUUCAUGCCACCAACUUCGGCCCCCUCUCUCAAGACCACGCUGCCAUCCAACCCGGCCCAGACACGACCCUGUCUACAUUGCACCGACGGCGUCGACCGAGACAGCCAACUACUGUCCGGGUGAAGGCGGCAGCAAUGAGGGCGACGACGACGAGACGAGUCCACCUUAGACACAGCAGCCCGGAGCUCUGCUCUCCACUGCUUUUAUUCACCUCGGCGCAGCUUGGCUCCGCCCUAGCCUCCCUUCU
Molecule: long non-coding RNA, 513 nt
Organism: Lethenteron reissneri (Far Eastern brook lamprey)
Lineage: Eukaryota; Metazoa; Chordata; Hyperoartia; Petromyzontiformes; Petromyzontidae
Source: RefSeq, a predicted model, not a curated record